This is a non-coding RNA of Termitomyces sp. T159_Od127, 108 nucleotides long. The record is from the annotation of a GenBank genome assembly. Lineage: Eukaryota; Fungi; Basidiomycota; Agaricomycetes; Agaricales; Lyophyllaceae.
GGGUCGAUGGCGUAGUUGGUUAUCGCAUCUGUCUAACAUACAAACCAGUAAUUCAGGAUUGUCAGUUAGUUCCACAGAAGGUCCUCAGUUCGAACCUGGGUCGACUCA